RNAcentral lists this ribosomal RNA (459 nucleotides) under uncultured bacterium. RNAcentral's name for it is "partial 16S ribosomal RNA". It matches the Rfam family "Bacterial small subunit ribosomal RNA", at positions 338 to 795 of the family's 1533-position model. The record is from RNAcentral.
CCUACGGGUGGCUGCAGUGAGGAAUAUUGGUCAAUGGGCGCGAGCCUGAACCAGCCAAGUCGCGUGAGGGAAGACGGUCCUAUGGAUUGUAAACCUCUUUUGUCGGGGAGCAAAAGACGCCACGCGUGGCGUUCCGCGAGUACCCUAAGAAUAAGCAUCGGCUAACUCCGUGCCAGCAGCCGCGGUAAUACGGAGGAUGCGAGCGUUAUCCGGAUUUAUUGGGUUUAAAGGGUGCGCAGGCGGAAGAUCAAGUCAGCGGGAAAAUUGUGCGGCUCAACCUCUUCGAGCCGUUGAAACUGGUUGUCUUGAGUGAGUGAGAAGUAGGCGGAAUGCGUGGUGUAGCGGUGAAAUGCAUAGAUAUCACGCAGAACUCCGAUUGCGAAGGCAGCAUACCGGCGCGCGACUGACGCUCAUGCACGAAAGUGUGGGUAACGAACAGGAUUAGAUACCCUGGUAGUC